Pogonomyrmex barbatus (red harvester ant) is the source of this 366-nucleotide long non-coding RNA. The record is from RefSeq and is a predicted model, not a curated record. NCBI's taxonomy places the organism in Eukaryota, Metazoa, Arthropoda, Insecta, Hymenoptera, Formicidae.
GCAUAUACGUGUCCUCACCACAUAUAUCGCGGCGUAAAUAAAAUCUUCGUAUCACGACCUGAUUAGCCGGCCAUGCUAUAAUUAGAAGCCGCGCGGUUUAAUCGGCGCACCGUCAGCGUCCCGAUUAAUUAACGCGCGUAAGCGUCUUACGGGCCAGAGGCGCGAUCUUCAUCAACUUUAUCGUGAAUAAGUUUCGCGUGUGAGAAGACAAAAAGGAUGGAAGGCCCCCUCUCCCCCGAUCUUAACGGCGAUCGACGGCGAUUCUGCGGAAGUUCCGGGGCGAAAGGGCGCUGAACGAACGGGAAAUGAUUGGUCAACGACAUCCACAAGAGCCUCUAUGCUUUGGAGAAAAAAAAAAAAAAAAAA